RNAcentral lists this long non-coding RNA (44148 nucleotides) under Setaria viridis. Its description in RNAcentral is "long non-coding RNA (SVIR_LNC008239)". Lineage: Eukaryota; Viridiplantae; Streptophyta; Magnoliopsida; Poales; Poaceae. The record is from RNAcentral.
GGCAAAACAAAAGAAUACAAUCCAACCCAAUAUCUUGAUAUUAAAUCUCCCACACUUAUGGUACUUAAGCCAUGGGCACCUUGGCAGCACAUAUCCAUCAGAAUCCACAAUGGCCAAACUAUGGUAGAUUCAUGUCGAUUUGUGGCUCAGGAGUUGUGUCGUCCUUCAUUCCUAUGAAAAAUAAAAUGUGAUUAGGAAACUGCAUGUUAACAUGACGUUCAUUAUUAACAGAGUAAGAAAAAUGAACAUUAUAGCUAACCAGUUGGUAUUGUUUGUCUUCUUUGUAGUAGCGGUCGAACCCUAGAGUAUCCUUGAUCUUCUUAAAAGAUGGCAUGAUGGUAGGCGGAGGUACACCGCCAUCUUUGAUUGCAUCUAAAGCAUCCUGCAUGUCAGAGAUUGGGAACUAUAUAUAAGUAGUGCUUUUGGUGCAAAAAUGAAAUGGAUGAUGUAUUGGAAUUAACAGGUGUUACUCAACAGAAAUAGUUGUGAUUUUUUUUUUCAUUGCCAGAUUACUCAACAGCAGUAGUUGUGAUUUCUUUUUCUUUUUACAAGAAGAAGGUGCAAAUACUAUUUGCAUAUAUUGCAUGCAUGUGCUAGCGUGAGAGUCUAUGCAUAAGGAAAGUGGAGUUUCCUUGCUGUGCAGAUAUAAGUGUUGGAGUAAAGCUUGAGUUAAUCAUUUAGGAAACGUAAUUGCUUUUUUUUGGCCAGUUGCCUGAACCCGUGUAGAAGGAAGUAUGCGAGCUCACGGAAUCCGGGAGCGAAUGAAGGUUGUGGUGUUUAAUAUUGAGUUGCAUGUUGCAAGGAGACUAGCAUGGAGUCCUAAACGUGUACAAGAUAGUAGAGCUUGUGGAAAUAAAGAAAAUAGAAAGCCUCAGAAACAUUUGUGUUUCUCGUGUUCGUGUGUUGGAUCCUGGUCAAAAGCCAACGAAUAAGUAUGCAGAAAAAUGGAUCCACAAGAACUACGACUACCUUGUGCUUGUGUUCAAACGAAUUAAAUUUUCACUCGAUUCAUCCUUGAUAACACAGAUGAAUUAAAAAAAAGAAUAAGGUCACAGGCUUCAUAUGUAUAAGAAUACAAACCUCCAUUGCACGGAUUGAGGCGCCCAAUAAGGAUACAGAAUAGAUUACGAGGCUGUAACCAAUUUUCGCAAGUUCAGGAGGGCUCAAUAUGGGAGUUUUACCACCUUCUAUUAUGUUUACCUGCGGAACAGAGUGUAAGUCUUCAUGGAUCAUGUCACUGCUAGAGGAAGGAACAAGUUCAAGCAAAUAAUAAAAAGGACAUUCAUUGUUGACGAGGAAAUAUGAGCGGUAAAAGUAACUUUUACAGUUGUACAGAUAUUCUUUUCAAUUCAGACUUGUAAUACGAGAAAAUGCAUAUAAACUACAUGACAGAAUUUCAACAUCAAAGUGUGGCCUCAAUUAUUCUAUUUUAUAGCACAUAUGUUUUUUUGGUUGUAUCCUUUCAACACCCUUGUCCAAUUCACUGCAAGUCAAUUAAGGGAUCUGGACAAACGCAGAAACAGCCAUAAACCCACAAUUCACAUGUAACUAGAAAACAAGCAUCAAAACACAUCGAAUGCAUGCACAUGUUAUUACCAUCUUUGGAACCCCCGGGGCAACUGCGCAGAAUUGCUUCAUCUCUUCCACCGAAGCAAGGGCGUCAAUUAAGAGAACGUCGGCACCGGCAUCAGCAAAAGCUUUUGCUCUAGCUAAUGCUUCAUCAAGAGAAAUGGCCUGACGGGAAUCUGUCCUUCCAAUGAUAACCAAGUCAGAGCCACUCUCGUUCCUAGCAUCAACAGCUGCUUUUAUGUGCAUGAUGGCUUCCUCCCUUGGGUAUACUUUCCUUCCUUCAGUGUGUCCACAGGCUUUAGGCGACACCUUCAAAUUACUAUACAUGUCAACUUUCUUCCAGGAUAAAUAAAACACAAGUCCACUGCCUGCAGUUUUUCUUUCGGGCAGUGGCAGGGCUUAUUAUCUAAAGCUAACAGAAACAACAAUAGUACUCAUUAUUAGCCAAUAGUGGAAUAAAAAUCACACAGAAAAUUUGGUCAAAAUUUUUAUGUGGUAUUUGAAAAUUUUGAUAACUUAGCUAAGUGAUUUUUAACAAUUUUGUUGCUGCCCUAAAUUUUAUUUUGUGGAGCGUGUCGCGUUUAGCUAUUAUGUAUAAUAAUUGUGUGGACCGAUUCUCCCUCGACCAUGGGGUUGAAGCCGGAUAUUACUUCCAUUAUUAUCUAAAAAAACAGAGUUAAACCUGACAAGGACCGUAUUUGAUACUGUGUUAGCUAAUAAGGUGCCAACGUAUGAAAGGAUUGGUUAGUAUUCCAAAGAGAGCACACCUGAUCUUCGAGCAUGAUCGCAGCGAAACCAGCAUUGAUAUACCCUUUGAUGGUUCUCUUGAUGUUCAUAGAGUUUCCGUAACCAUUGUCUCCAUCACCAAUCACCGGGAUCGACACAGCUUCGUUGAUGAGACGCCCUUGGUCUACCAUUUCCCCGUAGGAGAUGAGGCCAACGUCCGGCAGGCCAAGUCGCGCGGCAGAGACACAGAAACCUGGAAAAGACACGUACGUGAAAAGAAUCCAAUGCUUUGAGACACCUGCUUGAACAUUUGCGCUAGCUGUAGCUGAAGAAAUGAUAUGCACCCUAGCUACAUUCCAAAGUUGUAAUAAAACCAUAGCAAUAGUAGCAUGGUACGUUAGUCAGAAAUAGCCACGGAGCACCAGCAGACAGGAUGGUACGUUAGUUGUCAAUGCCAUUUAUACUGCCAUUCAUCUUGAGGUUGGAUUAGCUAGCAUUACUCAGUUGUAAUGACGCAUGCGAUUUCGUCGUGACGAGGAGGAGGAUGUGUGUUGUCAUGAGUUUAUACCGCUCAUGAAGGCGAUGGGGAAGCCGGCCUGCUCGACGAGGCGCGCGGCGAGGGCGUCGAAGCAGCACGGCGCCUGGUGCGCGCCGGGCGAGGCGAGGAUGCGGCGGAGCGCCGCCGCCGGGGACUCCCCCUGGCGGAUGCCGCGGAAGGACUCCUCGGUGGCGAAGUAGGGGCUGCGCGCGGCCAUCCUGAGCUGGCGGCGCGGGAGACUGGAAAUUGGAUGGAGGAGAGGGGAGCUAGUGUCAGAAUAUGUGACUGACUUUGGGCACUUUUGGCCGUGGCUGAUGAGAGCCGAGUCCGAUCCACCUGGGAAUUUAUAGAGCGGACAUGGCCCGGCUGGUAGCGCCCCGGCGCCCCACCGGCCGGAACGACGGUGACGACGAUGGCGGUAAUUAAAACGAAACGCGAUCGUUGGACAGCCGUACAGCGCUGUAUGGCAGCCUCUUGUCGUAGGGGGCUGGACCGAUGGCGAUGCCUAACCAACUACGUAGAGAGCCACUAAUGGCCCAGAAUUGAAACCGGACGCCGGACCAAAACCAACCCCCCGUAUGAACCCUGUAACAUCGGUUACAUACAUCAUACAUGCAUGUCGAUCUUAUCGACCCACCCCGAUCCUAAUCCAGCUCUCUGUCUACAUGGGCCAUGUCCUCAAAUUAAACACGGUUCUUUCACCCAAUAGCCAAGACUUCGCAGGACAGAACAGUACUUGCAGUUAGCCGUAUGCUGCCAAGUUAUAGUUGGCUAGUUGACAUAACAACAAGCACAGAACUGCCACAGGAAAAUUUGUUCAAGUAGGAAGAAAAUCCAAAUGAAAAUGGAAAAACAUGGUGGUGGCAUCAUUAUCGUACAUUUCCAUCAGGGCCGUACCGAAGAUUUUGAAGCCCUGGAGCGAAACAAGAAAUGGACCCUAUAUACACUAUAGUAGUGAAAUACAAAUAAUCGAGAUAUAUUUGGAUUCCAGUAUAUGAGUAAUAAGUACGUGUUUUUUUGCAUACAAAGAACUGCAAUAUGAAAUUAGGUACUCAUAUUAUAGGAUUAAAGGACGAAUAUUACAUACCAAUAUCUUCUUAACCUCUAGUUAAAUUCUUAACCUCUAGUUAAAGCCUAAUAGUUGGGGGCCCGGCUCGAUCGCUCCAGUUGCGCUGCCUAAUGUACGGGCCUGAUUUCCAUGCAUUACAACCACAUUCAUUGUACCAUACAAAAGAAAAUAAAAUACAUAUAUUUACUUGGGGUGGACUCAGGAAUAGGCACACCCCAUGUUGAACUACAGUUCUUUCCUCUGUACUCAAGAGAAAGCCAAGGACCAAGUGAACAGGCUGCAGCACCGGCAGCCCCGGUCCUAGAUCCACCCCUGUAUUUAGUUCUAUACUAUAAAAUGAGAAAACGUUUUCCACCCCGGCCGUAGCUAUCUAUCAACCGGAGGGGACGACGACCCAUCUAAUAAGAACUAUCUAGGGAGAUGAAUCAUUCAUAGGGGGAGGACCAUACGACGACGUAUGUACAUGCGGCGGAUGGUAAGAAUUGCGGUGAAAAAAAAAUAAGCGGCUGGAGGCAGCGGGGCGUAGACAUCGUCCUUUUAAUUCUUUCGCUUGGACGUCGUCCUCGCGAGAUCAUACACAAAAUUUUGUCCUCGGUAUUUCCUUUUCGCGGCAUGAAUACCAGGUACCAUCAUGCACGUUUCCUACCCCCCUCAUAUGCUAUAAUUUGGUGGCCAUGGAUGGAGGUAAGGACGAGUGGACGAGGAGUCCCAGCUGCCCCAGGGACCAUACAGGGUAUGUCCUGCUUGGGCAGCGAUGUCCAUUUGGCGCUUUGCUUGCGUGGUUGGAAAAUGGGAUCCCAGGUCGGAGGGGCACUGGCGCCUGUGCAGUCUCGGCUCUCAGCUAGCAUGGGGAAAAACUUAACAGGUUGGUGUGAUGAUCAGGGCGUCCUCUUAUCCAGAUGGCAAACGAGAUUCCGAGACGCUAAUCAGCUUAGAUGACGACCCAGAUUUGACGAUGGGGUGUGAAAAGAUAACCAUGCCAUGACUGAUGAGGCGCUGGGUCCAGGUCCAAUGCACGAAAGCAUGCGACUCGAUCAGCUACGGCACGACAGAUAUGAGAUGGGACGGAGGUGUGUAAAGAUGGAACUCGUUUCUUCUAUCUCUUGAUAACUUCUACGCCAUAUCACCGUACUUGAUUAUAAUAUAUGUCGCAUUAUUUAUGGAGAAUGAAACUCCUAUCGUUCAUGAAUUCGCUUGGGACGCCUCCAAGGCUGGUCCUGUACGUUUCACCACCGGUUUGUUCAUAUUUGUAUCUAACAUUUUCAUACUGCCAAAUUCUUUCGUUGCUCUCCAGUACGUGGCAGAGAUGGGCAAUUCAGGGAUAAAGAAUAUAGAGAAGGAAAGCAGUGAUAAAAAUAGAAGCAAAUGGGAAAAAGGAAGAGGACGACGCACAUGGAAACCCAAAGCUGAGUGAGAAGGCUGACGAAAGGUAACCGCAUAAUCUGUCAGCUAGCUCAACGAUGAGACCUACAAGUAAGUUGUAAGCACAUGUUUUGAUGGUCGUCAAUAAUGUGAGCAACUGAGCAGGAAACACGUACAGACGAAGAGAACCACUAACCUCGAGCACGCAACGCUGGUUUGAUCAAGAUGCAGAUUAAUUAAUGGCUGCUCAUCAAUGCAUCGACAGUCACCUGCUCUGGCUAGGCAUGCUGUUGAUCUUAGCAAGAGGGCCGACAAGUAAAUAGCACUACACCUACGUGGUGGACACCUCCCAUGCCCCACAGUUCAGGAAGCUGGCGACCACACAAGGAAUUGGUGCCAAAGUGACUACAGCCACACCAAUGUGAGACACGUGAAAGGAAUCAACGAGGGUGAAUUAGACUAACUUAAAAUCUUAACUAUAUGGCUUCCACCUUUUGCAUAAAAUAUAAAUUAGAUCAUAGUAUCUAAAAGUGCAACUAUGGUUCGACUAGUGUUUGCACCACCCAUAAAGAAUUUUGCAACUUAGUGGCAAUCCCUCGCAAAAGUUAAACGAUCUUAAUAAAAAGGCACUUAAGUUGUAAAUAUAAAAUGCGGAAAUAUAAAAUAUUGUGUUAGAGAGGAUGCAAACUCAGCACGGCGAUUUAUCCUAUGGUAUCAGUAGGUAAAUGCCACCCCAUGUUGGAGCUCCACCAAGAAUAUGCUCCAAGUCACCAAGCCUCUCUCCUGAUCAAGGUCAAGCUCGUCACUAAGACUCUCGUCUAGCCGAAUGAGAAGAUUUUUGCCACAAAGGAGAGGCUCACCAAUUCCUUUUCUCCGAUUAUCUAGACAUCGUCUCCACUAUGUAGAUUCUCCAUCAUCCCCCGUACACAGUCGUUGUUGCUGCUCCACACCAAGCUGGAGGGUUGAAUACUUGUGAAAGUGCAUAUAUACCCCUAGUGGGUUUUGGUGAGUUCAAUGAUACCAUGAUUUAAGGUCUAAUGAACUUGUUAAGCACAUGAGCAUGUAUAAAUAUUAUUGAUGGAUACUCAUUCGUGAUGAAUUCAAAUGAUGCAUUGAAAUGUUAGCUCAUGUGAUGAGAAAACAAGUGUGACCAAUGACAUUGCAUAUUAGUAGAAGAAUACAAGCAAUCAUGCUUAAAUUGAAGAAGGUUUGGACACAUGAGUAUCUAGUAGCCUUUCAGUAUAAAGAUUGCUUGAAAUGAAAGACAUGUCAAAAAUUAGUAAUUAUAUGUUGAAAGAAAAUGGUUAAUCAAUAAAGAUUGAAGACAAUGAAGAUACAAGCAUCAAUGGAAGUAAUCACUUGAGACAUGAAGGUGAAAAUGGAAAGCUAGUAAACAUGAUAAUGAGACAUGGGUUUAUGUCAUAACUUUGGUGUCAUUAAAGUUGAAAGAUUGUGACCAAUACAUAGCAUGUUUCAGUGUUAAUUAAUAUCAAGUAUUUGAAGAUAUGAAGGAUUGAAGGGUAUUCAUUAUUAAUGUCAAAGCAAAGCCAAAUUCAAGGAUCGACAAGAUUGAUUGUAGAAGAUAAUUAAAACAAAUUAGCGGUUUUCAAAGUGAAGAUAUUGUGAUGCAAGCUAGUAUAAGAGUGCGUUUGGCAGAGCUCCAAGAGCUGAUUCUCUGUUGAAUUCAGCAGGAGCUCUGCCAAACAGUUUUUCAGAGAGAAGUGAUUCUCUGCUGAUUCUGUGAAGUGAUUCCCUGAAAUGAACUAAGAGGCUGGGAGCUCAAAAAAGUAGCUUCUCCUAAUUCUGUGAAGUGAUUUUCCAUCCUAAUUUUAAGAGUUUAUGCUACAGAAUCAAAGAGAAUCACAUUCAGCCACAGAAUCACUUCUCUUAGAGAAUCAGCUCCCAUAGAGAAUGAGAAUCAGAUGGAGCUCUACCAAACGGACCCUAAGAUUCAAAGUGACACAUGGAUGAAGGAGUUAAUCAAAGGUCUUGUUUUGAGAGAAUAAGCAAUGAAGGGAACAAGACUAAGCAAUGAAGGGCAAGCAAGGUCUUGGGCUAACAAACUAAGCUAGGGUGAAGAAGCUAGAAAUGGGAUUGACACUAAAAUUGCGAGUCAUGGAGAGUCUCCUAUUGCGAAGCAUCAACCAUUCGUGUAUCUAUUGCGAAACAAGUGACGUGUGUACUAGAAAUGGAUUUCACUCGUGCAAGAUUAAAUUUCAGUUCAAGUUACUAGUUCAAGGUUAAAGUGCUCAAAACCAAACGAUAAAGUUGGAUGCAGUCCUCAUGAAGAUGCAUUAAUCAAGUGUGGUAUGAAUAAAAGAUAUGUUGAAGAUCAAGUGGUUGAAUUGUAUAUAUUCUUGAUCAUGAGGGUAGGUAUGCUGUACUAUCAAGAGGGAUGCAUCACAUGUUUUUUUGACAAACUUUCAGUGCUCAAGCUACCUAUACCUGAGUCAUUGACUGAACACUUAGUCUUGAUUUUGGCAGUGCAAAACCAGAAGUUCUAGUUUUGGUGCCACGUGUCUCUAAUGGCUAUCUGGUUUUAAAACAUCAGAGGUUCUAGUCUCUAGUUAUCUCUAAUGGUUAGUUUGUGUGGAAUUGAGUAUUUUUACUCCACCUCCACUCUUGUAGCAUGUUGCUGUUACUAAGGUUGCUAUUGUGCUUUCUGUUCAUCCAGAGUUGAGCAAAAGAGAAGAAUGCGCUCCAAGUCCCUCUUUGUGAGGUUGGGUGAUCCUUGUGUGAUCUAGUGAGUUGGAUGUGAGAGAGUGCGAGUCUAAGAGCAUUAGAAUUAUCCAAGCUCGUUUGUCUGAUGCUUGAGAAAACACCCCGCCAGAUCAACUAGUGAAAUUGCAUAUCCACUUCAUCCACUUCGAGAAGCGUUGCAUGUGAGUGAAAACUCCAACUCCCAUCCGGUGCUCUGUCGAAUAUUCCAAAGUCUCACCCCAAGAUCAUAGCUAAAGCGCCUAUCUUACUAUUACUAAUUGGAGGCUCCUUUUGAAGCCUCCAGGUGAAGCCACCUAGGAUUCCUAGGUGGACACUCUAGAAAAAGAGAGAAAUCCUAGAAAUUCUCACAAAAAAGCAAAACAUCCGACCAUCUAUUGAUAGAUUCAAAUCAUCAUAGCCAUUAGAUCUAUUAUAUUUUCUAAAAAAUUACCCACCUAUGCCAUUAUGAAAAUAGCCUAAAGUAACCUCCUAAAUCUAUAUAUAAAUUACCCACCUCUACCAUUAUAUAAAAUAAACUAAAAUAACCCCUUAAUCUUCAUCAAAAUUACCCACUUAUGCCAUUAUAAAUAAUAUUUAAAAUAACCCCCUAAUUUGCAACCAAAUUGUCCACCGCUAUUACUUAAAAACUUAAAGUAACCCGUUAAAUUUGCAUCUAUAUUACCCACACAUGCCAUUAUUAAAAAUAACAUGAUAACCCUACGUUUGAAUCAAAUAACCUUAAUUAAAAAUAUACAGGAAUAUAUGAUUCUAAAUCGUCUAUAUCUUGCACUAUUGGUAUAUGAUAUAAUAAUUAAGGUCUAUACACAUGAUGUGUCACCAUUUAUAAAGAUAUAGAGGAAGUGAUGAGAAUAUAUAUUUCUAUGUUAAAAUUGUAUCACAAACUUAGGGUUCAUUAAACAAAUUCAAGCGCAUACCUGCGAUGCAAAGUGAAAAGUUAAAGAUUAUAAAUGUGGAUGAAAAUAUUAUAGAGUAAUUACUAACUAAAAUCUAUCACAAUUGGAUGAAGAUAAUAAUAUAUAUCUAUUGUGUUUGAAUAUUUAACAAACGAGAGGUAGCUUAUGGUAAUAUUUUUUAGCAAUGUAGUCCCAUUUUUUUUCCAUUGGAGACUCCACAUUAGUUCCCAUGAGACAAGCUAGAAAAAAAAGAGACAAAUUCUCAUAAAAAUCAAAAACAUCAAACACCAAUCAUGUAAACUCUAAUAAUCAUAGCCAUUGAUCUAUUAUAUUUUCACCACUAUCAUUAUGAAAAUAUUCAAAAAUGAGCUCUAAACCUAUAUCUAAAUUACCGAGCUCAGCUAUUAUAAAAAAUAAUCUAAAGUAAUCCCAUAAUCUUCAUCCAAUUUACUAAUACAUAUCAUUAUAAAGUAUAACUUAAAAUAUCAUUCUAAAAUUUAAUCUAUAUUAACCACGUAAGUUGUUAUUAAAAAUAACCUAAAUUAAACAUCUAAAUCCUAAUCUAAUUAUCUUCAUGUGCAUCAUACAGAAAUAUCAAAAAUAAACUAAUAUAUAAAUCUAAAUUACCUAUUUAUGUUAUUAUUAAUAUAAAAAAUACUAAGUUAGAGUAUAUACAUAUGAUGAGUGUCACCAUUUAGACCAUUUAUACAUGUAUGUGAGGAAUCGAUGAAAAUAUUGAUUUGUAUGCUAAACAUAAUGUAUGAAAGAUUGGAGGUGCGAUACAAAAUGGAAAAAAGUAUGAAUAUGGAUGAAAAAGUGUAUAGAGUAAUUAUUAAUUAAAAAUCAAUCACAACUGAACAAAGAUAGGUACAUAUCUAUAUAAGUAUUAUGUUGAUGUAUUGAAAAAAAUAAGAGAGUAGUAGGUAAUCAAUUUUGAUUAUUAGCUAGGAGUUUAAUUUCUAAAGAAUUUUCAAAUAUAAUAGCUUCUAAAAACAUUAGCCUGUGCGGGAGCACGGGUUGAUGGACUAGUGCUCGUAAAAUAGGGGCCGUCGGAUAUUCUGGUGGUUGUUCUUCUACUUGACUUUGAUCGAAUUUAUUUCACUUCCUGUUAUUUGGAUGCCUUAGAAUUAUUCUCUCUAGAUUUGACUACUAUUUGGAUGUUAUAGAAUAAUUCAAAGUUCUUCUUUUUACCAUGACACUAUAGCUUGGAUCACUUGACAUGGAUGAUCAGUGGUGGAGCCACGUUGGGGCCAUAGAGGGCCUCGAUCCCCUGUCCCGAAAGAAAAUGCUGAAGAUCCCAAUUCCCAACCGUAGCCUAACUCUCUCAUGCCACUUCACGCUGCUGACAACUCUUUAUGGCUGAUCUAUACAUGCAAACAUGUCCACUACUCUCCCUGUCUCCCACCCCCCAUUUCUCACACGUUAGCCCUGUUCCGGGCUUGAUCCAGCAUUUAUAUUGCCACUUAAAUUACUACAUAUUCUCAAAUCUCAAUGCAACAAGAGACAUCGUAUGGCAUAAUAUCAAACAAGGGCUACGCGCACAAAUGCACCGUCGCAUUUUUCAAUAAAUCGAUCAGUGUACUCGUUGGGUUAUCUUCCAAAAGGAUAAGAACGCACGUCAGACAGUAGUAGUAACAACACUAGCAGAAGUGAGCUCACGCAACCUUCGCCGUAUUGCGCUAGCUCGCCGGUGGAAAGCAAGCAUGCAAAUUCGCAUACUCAAUAUAUUGUACGUGUUCAAUUAACUAACAAGCUAAGCAUUUGCUCCCCCGGCCCCUUGAUUUUAGUCCACGCUUCGCCAAUGUGGAUGAUGUAAAUCUUGUAUGAUUUGGAUUUCAUUCUUGGACCUAAAAUGCUUAAUCACAAAUAAUGAUCUAAUUAGGCCAUAUUUCUUACACGAUGCCUAACAGAACCACUUCAAGACGGCAUCUGGUACUAUAUACUCCUUCCAUUCCAAAUUGUAGGUCGUUAAACAUACAUUAUAUCUAGAUGCAUAAUAAUAUCUAUGAAUUAAAAAAUCUAAAACGACCUACAAUUUGGAACGGAGGGAGUACGACACAACAUCAUGGGCAAUUAAAUUCUUUGACAAUGACCGGUAAAUCGAUGUCUAGAAAUAGCCGUGCAGUAUGGAGGACGAGGGUGAGGCUAGUUGUCAAUCUCAGCGAUGAGGCUGCAGGGACUAUUACAUAUAUCAUAGGAACUCUAUUAGGAUUAUACUAUAUAACAAAUUAAGUUCAAUUCCUUUGCUAUUCCUCCACUGUGAAUGAUACAGACACAUCAGUACAUACAUGAUACGGACUGAAAAUUACAUGUUGCUCCAAGCAGGUAAAGGCCGGCCGCAUGCAUAAUUUUGGUACACUACCAAGCAGUGAUCAGCACUCUGAACAUGUAUAAUUCAGUGCAUGUAAACUUUCUGGCGUAACACACCCGUAAUGGGGAAUCUGACUAGGCGCCGGUCCCUACCAGUUACAUCAAGUUGCAUUCCAGCUAUCAAUUAGGCGAAUCAUUUCAGAAGAAGACAGGGUUACAAGUACUUAUCAAACUGUAAAGCAUUUCACAGGAGGACAGUAUAAGCACGACACGUUAUAGAAAACUAUUUAGACCGUGGCCAAAACUGGAGUUAAUAUGCAGAAAAGGUAAGAAACAGCUACAGAACGGUGAGCUGCAGUCAAUAUAUUAGGGAAACAUAGCUACCCCUAAGGAACUAAGCAGGAUGCAUUACGGAAAAAAAAGAUAGGCAAAUACCACGGCUAGGCAGACAGUUGAUGAUUCAUACUGAAUCUUUGCCAGAUGGAUUGAGCAGAGUGAUGUGUUGGAGUCUGGACAGCAAGACAAGUAUGAGCACUGUCGAGCAGUGACAAGUAACACUGCAAUAGUUGUUCAGAGAUGACACCUGCACAAACUAAUGCUACAAUAAACCUUUCCCUCUCAAUCUCAUUGGAUGCUGCAAUCAGCAGGGGUAACAUGGAUUGAGCAGAGGAUACCGCAAGAAAGCUUCAGGUAACCAGACUUAAGCAUUCAAACCAAGGUACGUAACGUAAUUGGUUAUUCAGUGGACAAGCAAUAUGCAUUCUCUCAAGCAAUUUCAACAUAUCAAAGUAACACAACAUGUUGUUCCUUAUCCUCUUAUAUGCAAUCAAAAUUACAACCUACUACUGAUAAUUACUAAAUACUAGUUGUUUAUUUGGCAAUAAAAAGGAAAUACCCUUUAAUUCUCCGUGUUCCUCGCGCGAUCGAAAACAUGAGUGGUCGAUCGACCUGCAGUUGGACCAGCGAAAAACAUGGGUGGUCGACCUGCAUUUUUCGGUCCCAUCGUCCGGGCUGGAUGGAUGGCGAUGCCUCACCAAUUACGUUGCACCGACAUGGGACACGGAAGACAGCGGCGGAACGUGAGGAAAAUUGAUUGAAGGCGGGGGCCAACUGCAAGCUGUCCAGGAGAGCACCUGAUCGAGCAAGGGCCGCAAUGGUGGAUCUACGUGAUGCUUAUGCAUUGGCAACAAUUAAUGUCCAGCAGUGCAAUGCCAGUUUGUAGAUCUUGCUGGAGUUGCAUGCAGGAAUCCUAAAAGCUGCAGUAACGGGUGAAUUUGGAGGGCAGGGGCAAACUGCCACCAGGCUCGUGGUUGCCGCCGCACACUGAGGAAAACAAGGAAGCCGGUGACGGCGUAGUUUCCUACUCCUUUUUGCCGCCGCUGGUCCUGCCCAACGUGCUCAGUCGUCCUGUAGCGAUCUCCCUGGUUGCUCUUGCUCAUGAAAACUAACCAACAAGGAGAAUGGAAGAGCUACUUUGAUGAUCCAAGAUGUAUGGGUAUUUGUAAAACAAAAGGUGUUAAGAUAAGAUUUUGCUAAUGCUCAAAUGGACUGAAUCAGCGGUAAUGAUGGAACGAAGCGGCAUCAUUAGAUGUUUGGAAAAAAUUGCACAGGGAAGGGGGUGGCGGCCCGGCACCCAGUUUCGCCUUCAUUAAGGUACGCCCUGGAUACAGAUAAUCCGAUAGCCCGAUCCGGAUAAGACCACAUGGUGAUCCUACGUGGUUAUCCAAAAUCCAGGACACGCCGAUAUGAUAAGUAUGUACUAAAACAAAGAGGAAUUUUCUAAAACAACAACGGUCAUCCUAGCCCGAAGGCCCGUCCACACAGAGCUCUCACAUGCUAGUACUGGCCCUUGGCGUGCUCCUAGAGCCGACACAGUACGCCGCGUGCGACUUCCGCGCCAUCCUCUCCGAUAGAGGCGCGCACGUCGCCAUAGCUGCUGCGCACGUCGCCAUAGCUGCUGUUUCUUCAUUUUCACAAGCAAACGACAGCAGCAGUGCAGGAUCCAGAGGGAUACAGCUACUGUUCUCACCUCUGCCUUGGAUCUUUUUUUGUUCAUGAGAUAGAAAUAAGGAAUUAUUCCGCGGUGCAGGUCGGAGGAACAGCAACGGAGUCAAGAUUGGAAGAGUAGAAGGACCAUCGUCCAUAUAAUCUUGAGUCAAGUCGCGGAGUUGUGCUCGUACAUGUGCACAUGUACCGCUUGAGGUGGAAUAUAGUUAGUGACGGACUGGAAUUAGGUUCAAGAGAAACUGAGGUUUCAUGCCUAAUUUAAUUGUUAGAGAGGAAAUAAAGCUCUGUUGGUAAAAAAUAUCAUGCGAGACGUUCCGCCAGAUAAUGGUUACGCACGUUGGAUGUGCAUGUGGUGUCGACAUUACGUUGAAGGUAUGGUGUGUGUUUGUAGUCUUGGCACAUGAACACACCAGGCGGUCGUGAAGCGUUGCAACUAUAGAUAGGAAGUGCAGGAGCUGGCCGGGCUGGCGCGCUGCAUGUGGUAGCCGUCAGCUAGCCUGGUGUGUUGUGUCCAUGUUGGACACGGUUAAGCUACUGUUGUACAGCGCAGAGAGAAAGAAGAGAGAGCGGCCAGUUUGGUUGGCCGCCGUGUGCGCAUGCAUGUGUUAGGUCCAAGGCCGGAGAAGGGUCGUGGCACGCCGUUUCGUUUGGUGGCAUGUUUACUACGUACAUGCAUGCAUGCGGCGGGAGGCACAUCACUACUCCACACAACUACAUCAUCGCCGCCUCCAAACCAGCCUUCACCGCCGGUUUUGUAUCCGUCAUUUGACUCUAGAGAGGAGAAGGAGGAGGAGGAUGAGGAGAGAGGGAGGGAGAGGCGCACCUGGGAGGCCGGAUCUUGUCGCCGCUCCUCGCCCGGUGUGGCGUCCCGCCCCCCGGGGUCGGGCCCGCUUACACCUGGUAGCUCUCUAGGAUAUCAAGAAUUCCCUCACAGACCAACACAAGUCUUUUCUGCGCACUUUGUCCUCACUCGUGCGCACCCGGGAAGAACUUCCCGGUCGGUCACCCAUCUCGAAAUUACUCCGGGCCAAGCACACUUAACCCCGAAGUUCUUUGAGGAUGAGCUUCCGGAAAAGAAGUUGCAACUUGUUGGUAUGAGUAUUCUAUCAAUCCUAUUAAGCCUUGGGCCAGGAUGUCACAUACUCACCCCCUUAGAAGACCGACGCCCUCGUCGGUCAACCCCAAGCCAGGAACGUCCCCUCUUGGCCACGUCCGUGUGUCCAGUGCCAGCGCAUGUGCCAUGCUGUGUGACCACUCUGGGUCCACACCAGCCAUGCACACCAUGCCUGCGCAACUGCGACCACACGCGCCCGUGAAACCGCGAGAGUCGGCUCUGAUACCAACUGUGGCGUCCCGCCCCCCGGGGUCGGGCGCUCCGGGCCAAGCACGCUUAACCCCGAAGUUCUUUGAGGAUGAGCUUCCGGAAAAGAAGUUGCAACUUGUUGGUAUGAGUAUUCUAUCAAUCCUAUUAAGCCUUGGGCCAGGAUGUCACACCCGGCCACUGGAUCUCGUCGCCGCUGCGCCUCACCCGGCCGCCAGAUCUCAUCACCGCCGCGCCUCGCCCCAUCCCGCUGGCUGCCGCCACCGCUCCUCGCCUCAGGCAUGAGGUGAGGGGCGAGCAGAGGGGGGAGGAGAGGGGAGGCCGGGGAGGGAGAAGGAGGGGGCCGGUGGCGAAGGAGGAAGGAAGGGGAAGGAGAAGGAGGGGGCCGGCGGAGGAGAGGGGGUCGGUGGCGGAGGAGGGUGGGAGAGGGGCCGGCGGAAGGGAGGUAGCGGGAGGGUGGCGGCUGAGUGAAGGGAGUGCGGGUGGAGUGAGGGAAGGUGAGGGGGUCACGGGAGUGCGGGGGAGAGAGGGAAGGUGAGGGGAAGUGUGUGGGUGGAUGCGAGUCUUAAUCGAAAUCAAAGUGAAUAAAAAUUUCGGGUUCGGGAACCACCCAUCACCCCCGUUUGUAAUACGAGCCGGCAGCACCGCCGGCUCGUAUUACAAACCAGCAGUGAUGGUAUUUUUCAAUGCCGGUUUUAGUGUUCAACAGCCCAUUUACUAUAAAAUCGGCGGUGAUAGGCCAUUGGGUAAAACCGGCGGUGAUAGGUCAUCAGGGAUGGCUCAUUCUAUAGUAGUGCAUGUAUGUUGUGUUUUGAGAUUGACCAGCUGGUUGGUUCGACCAAGACUUCGAUUAGCUGUCCGGGUAAGUCAGGGUCGGGCCAGGAAAUAAAAAGGGCAAAGUCCACAAUACCACAACAGUGCGGACGAGGCGCGAGGAUGACAGAAGGUCGAGAGGCUGCUGCUCUUCUGUUUUUCUUUAGAGAAAAAAAAGAGGGAACCGGUUUUGGAUCAUCGUGGAGCUUUUUGUAUGGAUAUUUGUGUAGGUAUAUCUUUUGAACACAUUUUUACAAUGAAAAUCAAUCUUGUAUAAGUUGGUGUAUCGGUGAUAUGUCCUUCCUCUCCGGUCUUUAUUUUGCAUACCUGGUUUUGAUUUUAGAUUGGUUUAUUGAUCAACAUGAUUAGAUUAGUUUUGAUCCAUCAAAAACAGUGAAAGUGUAUCAAAUUAUUGACCUGAGAAGUUUGUUUGGUUAGACCUUCGUAGUUUUUUCUUAAUCACAAAAUGAGUGUUUAACCUUUUCGCGACACUAUCCGACAUAUUUGUUUAUUUUACAUCUUAAGUUUUAGACCUCCGAUUUACGUGAUUCUAAUUCGGUUAGUUAUAAAAUUUUAUAAACUAUUUUCCAACCAUGUUUUAUGGUUUUAGGAUUUACCAUCUAAGAAUGACACAAGAUUUAGUGGGCGAACUAGAAUAUAUUUUUGGGUGAAAAAGUUUCCGCUGUAGUUUGAACUACGAUUCACCUCCCCCUCUGAUAGAUAGGUUAGAGAGAUUCGAUCCUACAAGUGGCACCAGAGCUAUUUUUUCUAAUUUAUCUUAACCGGUGAUUAUAAUGCAAUAGAUAUUCCACAAAACCAUGUGUUUUCAAUGGUGCUGAUUUUCAGCUCUAGAAAGCAAAGAUGGAGGCAUACAUUUAAGAACAAGGCUCAUUGAUUUGGGAGAAGGUUACUACUCCUUUUCAAGUUUCUAAUCAAGUGAACGGCACUAAUCGAGCAAAUGUAGAGAACAAUAGCAAGACUAGGAAUGUGAUCUUCCAAGGUCUAGGAAGGAGUGACUUUAACCGUAUUGUUCAUCUCAAGUUGGCAUAUGAGGUAUGGAAACUACUUUGUGACAAUCAUGAAGGAUCAAAUAUGAUAAAAGAUGGUGCAUCAAUAUAUGUUUAAGAAAGAAUACAUGCGCUUUGUGAUGAAACCCGGUGCAUCUGUUGAUGAUUUAUUUGCAUGUUUUAAUAAAAUUCUUAGUAAUUUACGUGUUGUUGGAGUUGCACACACUGAUGCUGCUAAUGCUAAACAAGUACUUGCUUUAGACAUGUCCGUUUGGGAGAUGAGGGUUAGGUCUAUUUAAUAAUCAACUAUCAUGAGUACUCUUACAUUAGAUAUACUUUAUUCAAAACUAAAACUCAUGAAAAUUAGAUGCUCUUGCUAGAAAAUAAGGAAGUGCAUGGCUUUGGUCUUUCAACCUAAUAUGCAUAAUGAUACUUCUUCAUCUAGCUAUGCAUUGUCUUAAUUUGUCUUUACUAACUGAUAAAUACCUAGAACAACUUCCAGAAGAUGAUUUGGUCCCCCCUCUCUACUCACUUUAUUAAAUCUUUGCAUAAUGUGAGAUCAAGGAAGAGAGGGAAUUCUAGUCCUCAAAAUAAGAUAUUUUGAGUGUGUGGCUCGCGCAAUCAUAUCCAUUCUUAGUGCCUAAAGUUCCUGGUGAGGAUCAGGGAAGACAAUGAGACAGAACAAUAAAUUGAUAAGGAGAAAAAGAAGCGCCAUAACAACGACAAGAAGAAUAAGAGCUUUCUGAACCGUAGCAUUCUCAACUUGAGUGACAUUGAUUCAAACAGCAACGAUGAAGACAUAACAUAUAAAGGCAAGAAGGUGCGUAAUUUGACUUGCAUAUGUCUCAUGGCAAGCAACCAGAACUUCACCAACAGUUAGUGACAUAGGUAGCAACAACGACAAGGAGGUAGAACCUUCUAAUGAUGAACUAGCUAUUUCUAUUAAAAAAUUGGUACUUUAUUAGAGAAAAGAAAUAAAAAGAUUAAGAAAUAUGAUGCUUUGAUUGAACCUUUACAUGCUGAAAUUGUUAGACUUAAAACCUUUGAUUCCUAUUGAUGAUUCAUGCAAAUCAUGUGACACAAUAUAUCUAUGAUGAAUUUACAUAUCUAAGGGAUGUGUAUGCUUCUUGUAUGCUUUUUUUCAUAGCCUUUGGCUUUUGCCGUAAACUCGCAUUUGAAAAGGUCCUAUUGCACUCAAGAGUAUGGUGGCACAUGCCUACUGCAAAUCACUUGAAGCUGCAGUUGUGGCAGCACAUAAAACAUUGGAAAACAUUACAUGCUGAUUCCCUCUACCACUUAAGGAAGCGGUCAAGUGUCAUGUGCUGGAGUUGAUAAAAAAAACACUAAAUGGAGAAAGCGCGUGAGUCUGCUAAAAAUAGACUACAUGACGCGCAGAACCAAGAGCUCUUCGACAUAUAUCCUAUGAUCCUGCAAGCUAAAUGGAAUUACUUUUGAAAAACAUGUGAACGAACAUCAGGCCAUUGUGAGGAUGCAUUCAAACAACAACCACAGGUUUGGUACACAGCGUAUGAUGCCAAAUGAUAAGCAUGAACAUGAUCCUGAUGUGCUAUGCAGUCUUUCUAUUUGUAUAAUGUUAUGGUUGCUCCUGAACAUCUAGGUGUACCGGGUGAGCUCUAAGUACAAUUUCUAUAUAUGUUUGCGUAAUAUUCUUGAUGUGCUACCAUGCCAUGCGCUUGUUCUCUAAACCCUACUGGUAGAUAUGUUAUGUUUACUACUCUUAGCUUGCCAAUAUAUAGUGCGAAGAUAACUUAGAUGGUUGUUUGAUUCAAACGUCUGUUUUGUGUUGACAAAAUGUAGUCGGUCAUCACAUACACCCGUACGUAUUAUUAUAGAUAUUAAAAUGGUUUCUGUACAAAAGAGCUGUAUAUUUAUGCUGGUCCUACAUACGGGUUUAUGCGUCAUCUACGAACGGUGUUUGGUAGCACUAAAACCGUCUGUCAUUGGGUCAAUCCAGAUGUUGGUUUCACCAUUUGCGCCGUGAGACAAUAUUUCUGACUCUCUCGUAUAGACUCCAUGAAGACCGUCGGCUAAAUUGUUUUUUAACCAUUUGUACUGACACCUUUUGAUUUAGUGCAUAGUGCAAAAACCAUAAAGAGAUAGGCUUAUGGAUCGAUCAUCACGCACAGUCAAUCAUGACAAGCACACCACAUUAAUAGGUACACAGUUUAUAACAUUCCAAAGAUAGCAAGAGCGUGGCCUACCAAAUUAAACAAUAGCAUCCGCAUCGAGGCCACCAACACAAUCAGGCAAAACAUCACUUUAUGUGGUUUUAUAGAUGGAAUCCAAGAACUUUGACUAUUGAUAGAGUAUCCAAAUCACCAGAAGGGCAUGCAAUGGACAAUUACGAGUUUACACUUGUUGACCUUGCCAAUUUCGGUUGCAAAGAUGACCCAUGAGUACUUGUUGAGCAUGUUACCUAAGUAACUGAUCUUGCGAAUGAGAAGAAGCACAUUGUUGUCUUUAGAAAACAAAGAAUUCUAGUAGUUGAUGGUGUGUAGAGGAUGUUGAGGAAUACAAUCAGCACAAGAAAUUGGAGCUCUUUACUGAUCAUCCACAAAAGAUCAAAUAUGUUGAAGUAAGCACAGUCAAAGCCGUGAAGCCAUGUGUGCCCACUAAUAUAACGGAACAAUUCUUAAAGGCUAAAUAGUAUAGUAAUGAUAUCUUGUUUUGUAACAUAAUUACUUAAAUUUCCAAUGAUGUAUAAAUAUAUGCAACUUUUUAUAUAUGCCUAUAAUUAAUAUAGUAUGUCUUAAAAAUACAAUUAUAUAACGUAUGCAUAUAGUACUAUUCCCAAUUUUCAUGUAAUGAUUAAUUGUUUAAAUCUGGCAUUCGUGAAGAAAGAACACUACGAUGUACCCUAAUCUUUUAAAGUUAAAUUGAAAAGGAAGAAAUAAUUUGUGCUUGCACGUGACAUAAUAAGCACCCCUCAGAAAAAAUGGCAUCCAUAUAAUAGCUACCCCAUCAGUUCGACGUUUUCUAAAUCCUGGACGCUCAUCCGAUCGAACAGCAAUGUUCGCACACUGCCAGAUUUUUUGGCAGCUUUAACGUCUCAUUUUUUAGAGCAUUUAAAAAUAUGGAUUUUUUAAAAAAUUUCUUUAAUUAUAACAUAAUCUCUUCUCCGAAACAUUUUAAACUCUUUUCACAAAUUAAACCCUGCAUUAAAUCAACAUGAGUGUCGCAUUUGAUUGUUUCUAGGAAACCCUACACUGGUGGGAAAAAUGGGCAUUAGUUCCGGUUGGAUAGGCUCACAUAUCUCGAAAAUCCAACCGGGACUAAUCUUUCAAGACUAGAGGGCCCCCUUUAGUCCUGGGUCAUUCACCCAGGAUUAAAGGGGCCGCCACUAAAGAUUUUUUUUACCCUGAAUUCUUUUCCAUAUUAAUGCUAAUUAUUGCUUCACUUAUAUAUAUACACCUAUACGUAUACAUCCUUAGCAUACACUACUUACAUGUAUACGCUCGUAUUGUAUGCAUGUCAUAUAUAUAUUUCAUGAUAGUAUAAGCAUAAUAUUAAUUUUAACUACUAUAUAUACCAUUCUUAGUAGUUUAUACACAUCAAACUAGUAUUUAUACAAUUACUAUAUAUACAAUAAUUUAUCCUCGUAAUUCUUAGGAUCCUCCCAUCGUGGUGUUGCUCGGUUUGGCUAUUGAAUGUCCAUCGUAAUAAAAUUCUCCAUUGGAAUUUAUCACCUCCUUCACCAGAAAUCCUAUGAGAGCUUCUUGGAUUGCCAAAAGCCUCUCCUUCUCCAAGAGUUCUUCUCUAAUAUGCAUCAUCUGUAAUUUGAAAAUAUGUGAAUGUUACACCAACAAUUAAAAUAAGGAGCUAGAAAACAAUUAAUUAUUAAUAGGUUUAUUUACAUAUAGUUAUAUUGUCCGAUAUCACCUUGUCCCUCACGAAAUGGUACAUGUGCUCACAGACGUAGUAUCCACAUAAAUUAUUCCCUUGUUCCUUUCACAAGCACUUUAGUGGAAAAAACAAGUUAUGAAAUAUUCAUGUUAUAGAACGUACAAAAUGUGCAAACUUCAUACAUACGGGGAACGUUGUACUGAAUGUAAGUUUUUCUUUGAAAUCACCACGGUGAUACUUACGGAAUGGUUUCCAUGCACUACGAAAUAAAAUAAUGAAUGAUAUAGUGUUAGGUGAAAAUUUAGGAAUCAAACUUUUGAAUAGAGAUAAAGGUUCAGAAUUAUUACAAGUUAAGCAUAUCUUGAAUGUCUUGGUACUCAUCCUUUGGUUUCCUCAACUAAUCAAACACAAUAACGUAGCUUUGAUCAAUCAUAAUUAUAAGGAGAAUCCGGUGGAAACUACGUACAUAAAUGUUCAUAUUAGAACUAACUCACAUUAAUUAGGUAAGAAAAAGCAAAACGAAAAUAGACGGUACCCACACUUACUUAAAGCUGUAGGGUAGUAGUAUGUAUUGCUAGUAAUUCUGUUGCUCCAAGAAUUUGUAUAUUCGGUCCAAUAUCCUUUGGGUGAUCCCGAAUCUGAUAUUGGUUAACAAGCGCUAGGUCCAUGAAGCCAACGUUAAAGUACGAUUCUCAGUGGCACCUUUGAAUUUGCAUCCUAUAUAAAAUGAAAGACAAAGUUAGUAGGGCGACACACACACAAAAUAAUAAUCUGAGCCAAAAUUAACAUCUAAUAAACACACACUUACAGAACUCAGACACUGAUGAGAGAGACAUCAAGAGCAUCUUGAUGGUACACUUCAUAAAUAUCCUUGAAUUCCAAUCAUAGCAAUUUCUCACCUUCAUCGAAAAAAUGAAUCGGUCUAACAAGAAGAGCGAACAUGACCUUUUCCUUGGCUGACUGCUCCAUGUACCACUGAUUGAAUUCAUACAUCUUAGUUGAGAGCUUCCGUACCAAUUCAGGCCUAACUAGAGGCUUGCCUAACUCAAAGGGCCAUUUAGGUACAAUCUUUUUUGAAGGUGGCGGUUCGGCUCGCCCUAGAACUUCAGCUAGCGAGAGACAUGUGUCUUCCAUAAACUUAAUAGCCUUGAUUUGUUGUUCUAAAAGCAUAGCUGCUAUAGCUAGAGCGUCUUUAUCUGCUUGCUGAUCUUGCUGCCCGAGCUGGGGGACAGUACGACUGGACGACGACUCUCCUUGUUCUUUCUUCCGAUAAGACUUAACUAAUUAACAAUCAUAGUUCGAUAGUAACAUCUUCUUGACUUUUUUUUCAUGCCAAUAAAAACACUUUAAUUUGGCUGGAUCUAAUAGCUUAGGCUCCAUCUCCUUCGCUUUUCUUUCUACAACGAUUUUUUUCAAACCACUCCCUUACAUAUGCUUGCGAUGCCUCCACCAAUUCCUCAGGAGUCAUAUCACCUACUAGCUUCUUAAUAGGUUCAGACUUCUUUGUUUUCUUCCUUGGUUCUUUCGCCUUUGGUUGCUUUGGCUUGGAAGACGGUGGUCGCGACUUCUUGAGAGGUGCUGCAGGUUCCUUGCUCGCACCAGACUUUAGUCCCGGCGUUGCAAACGGUGAUCGGGGAGGGGUGUUAUUGUCAUCGUCGCUCGCACCUUCAGGAUUCGAUGGUGCUGGAGACGGUGAUCGAGCAAGACUGCAGGAUGGGACGGUCCCGGUGGUGAUGAUGGUUUUGGAAGUGGAUGUGCUGGAGAUGACAGUCUUGAGUUCUGAGGAGAUGGUGGCUGCAGGGGGUCUAUGGGAAGAAAUGAUGCCUCUUGGCCGGGGAUGAUGAUGUAAUGUUUGCGCCAUAGAAUGAUACCGUGAAGUGCAUCUCCUAGUGUCCUUUCCCUGUCACCUCCCGGGAGGUCGAGCUCUAGGCCUUCAUAUUGACUAUCACAAAUCUGCUCUACCCCAACGCUGGAGUAGCUAGGUGGAAUCGCCAUACCAUGGCUUGUCUACCCUGGUAGGAUUGGUAAAGCACUUCCGUACGCCACUUGUACAUAUAGGAGAAAUAAAGAAGUUAUUAAAAUCCUGAGACGUGGAUCAAUUGAGAUAAUUGUAUAAAUUAUAUACAUGUAUAUCUUAAUAGUAAGGUUGUCAAAUGGUCUGUACAGCUCACAUGAGGUGCGCGGAGUGAUGUCAUCCGCAGGGUACCAUUGGUUGUCUUGCGCAACCACGGGUAAGCUUGGCAUGUUCUCAUUGGGGACCCCUAUGGAAGCACAGCUGCUUCAGCGUUGAGAAGGGCUAACGACGAUGUUGGGAUCCGGCAGUGCUCCAGAUUGGGCCAUCUCAGUAACUGCCAGGGCCGCUCGCUAAUUAAUUUCUUCCUGCAUUCUUACGUCUUGUUCAUGCACUUUAGCUUCUAACAUGCGCCGCCACCUCUCCUCUUGUUGUUUCUUUCUUCUCUUCCCUCUUCUGUACAUGUCGAUGUCCCUACGGAAAGCAAACUUCCACAGAACCACCCCGAAGCCUUGGCAACGUCCUGGGUGUUUGGGAUUCCCAAGCGCCAAAGUCAGCUCAUCGUUCUCUCUAUCAGACUUGAACUAUCCCGCUUUAGAAUCUUCAAUGUUUUUUAUAUGCCUGAGGGCCUUCUCACGUAUUGUUUCAUUGAAAAUAAGUGUCACAUCCUUAGGGGUAAGGGUGCCUCCGUGCGCGUAAUACCAAUUCUUCGAUCGAUCGGGCCAAUCAAUAUUCGCUGCUACGAUACCUCGAUUGAUUAGGUCUUGUUCCAUCUUUCUCCAUUUGGGAAUUGCACUCCUGUAACCACCUUGCCCUAGAUGAUGAUGGUACUCCUUCUUCUGGGCAUUGCCUGAGUUCACACGAACCUUGUUCGCACUAUCUUUACUCCUCUUGUAUUCCAGAAAUGAGUUUCAGUGAUCUCUUAACUUUGGCCAGUCAUGAAAAUCUGGAGUUCAGUCCUUCUUGAUAUAGUUGGCAUCCAGAUUCUUCUUGGAGGUCUGAAAUUAGGUUGCCAUCUUCUUGAGCGUCCAAUCUUUCACAACUUUUUCAUCGAUGCCGUUAGGAAGUGUGAAGUGUUUCUUGACAUCUGCCCACAACAUAUCUUUCUGUGUCUAUGGGAGCACGUAUGGAUCACCUUUUUAACCCUUCCAUUCUCGAAUGCUGAUGGGCACGUUGUCCCUUACAAUAGCCCCACAUUGACUCACAAACUUUCUAGCAACUUUUUCGGAGCAAUUGGCUGGCCCUCUUCUAUCACUUCGGUGAUGUGAAGCCUUCCCUCCAUUAUCUUUGUACGACCUCGCGGCUUCUUUCGCUUCAUCGAUCCAAAGGGAUAAAAGUUCAAGAUUUGUUAAUUAGUACAUAGUAAUAAUUAAUAUGAAGUUAUAGAUGGGUAAAACAAUGAAAAUGAUAUAUAUACCUUGCUGGAACCUUCCAUCAUGGCAAUGUCUUGUUCCGCAUUGUCAUCAACAUCAUGCUCGAGCUCAUCAUUGCCAUCACCGGACAUGUUGAGGAACAUUUCCGCCUGGCUACCCUCAUCCUCGGUGUAGGUUCUUAGAACAUUUGAGCCACUACCACUAGCAAUGAUCUGCUCCAUUAUAUACCUUUCAUCCUCUUCAUCUCCCAUCUCAACUAAUAACGACAUUAGUUAUACACACAUGUAAUCAUAGAUACAUUAAAUUAAAGAUUGUCUCAAGUAGUAUAGUAAAUGUAUAUACAUGAAAUCAUACAACCAUGAAAUCAUACAAAACUUAUCAUAUAUAUUCAUAGACACACGAUUGAAAAUAUACACUUAAAACCAUACAAUAAAACUUGUACAAUUUAUUACAUGAAACUUACAUGAAAUUAAACAUUAAAAUUUUUUACAUGAAAUAAAUACACAUGAAACCAUACAUUGUACUAAUUUUCUAUAAUUUUCAAAGUAUUUAUACUAAUUUCCUAAGCAUUUAUACUAAAUUCUACUAAUUUCAAAACAUUUGCACUAAUCUACAAAAUUAUACUAAUUUUCUAAGCAUUUAUAAUAAAUUAUACUAAUUUCUACUAAAGUAUACUAAUUUCGUAAGCAUUUCGACUAAUCUACUAAAUUAUACUAAUUUCCAAAGAAAUUAUCCUAAAUUAUACUAAUUUCUACUAAAGUAUACUAAUUUUAAAGCAUUUCCACUAAUCUACUAAAUUACAAAAAUUUCUACUACUUAAUACUAAUUUCUACUAUUUUCUACUUAUUUCUACUAAUUUUCUAUUGAAUUUCCUAAUUUAUUUCCUAAUUUCAAAAAAUUGGCUUGCAUCAGCAAGCCGGGGGCUUGCGCAGCGCUACAACGCGUGCGUACCUCUUCGUGAGGCGGCAGCAGCCGGGAGGCGCGCGGCGACGAGGAGGAGGCUGAGGAUACGGAUGGCGCGCACGCAGCGAGCCGCAGGGUGAUGAUGAGGAGCCGCGAGCGCGAUGGUUGGGGAAGAGGCCAACGGCGAUGGCACCACGCCGUGUGCGGCGGGCAGCCGGCGGCACUGGAGAGAGGGGCAACGUUGAGGCUGGCGGUGGAGGGGUCGCGCCGACGAUGGCGGUGCGGGAGUGGCGUGGCUGGGCCGGGGCGAAGGAUGAUGGAGAGGGCGUGUGCGGGCACCGGGGCAGAGGACGACGGAGAGGCGCGGUCGGGGCGAAGGAUGAUAGAGAGGCGCUGGGAGUGGCAGCGGUGGAGGAGGACGGGGCAGUGCGGCACGUCGAUGGGGACCAACGGCGGCCGGGGCGGAGCAGAUGAGAGGUGGCAGAUCAAGGGAGUGAAGUGAGGAGGAAGAAGGGAGCAGAGAAGAGUUAUUUAUACCCCCAUUUAGUCCAGGGUGGAGUUUUCAACCGGGACUAAAAGGGGCUAGUUGUGAUGUCUUUAGUUCCGGUUGGUGUUACCAACCGGGACUAAACGCCCCACUAGAUUCCCCUCGAUGCUUCUAGCUUUAUUAGCCGUUACAACCGGGACUAAAGGGGGUUUUUUAGUCCCGGUUGAUAUUACCAACUGGGACUAAGGAGCCCGUCGGAGGUGGCCGUCGGUGGUGGGAAUUUGACCCAGGACUAAAGCUCUUUUAGUCCCGGGUCAAAAAAUGACCGAGAUAUAUGUCCAAGGAUCCAAAGUCAUUUUUCUACCAGUGCUAUCCUAAAUUCUCAACCUUCAACAAAUCCUAGGAAUAAUUUCUCCCCAAUUCCCCCUCUUCGAAAAAUCCUUAAAUUAAUAUUUAAACCUAAUUUGAAUAUUAAUCUCUUUCAAAACCUCUAUGAAAUCUCGCCAAACCUACUCCAAACCAAACAUUAUUUCAAACUCCAAAUUCAAAUCCAAAAGCCCUUUCAAAUAAAUAGGAAACCCCUCAAUUUGUAAACAGGCCGCCAACCUCGUCUCGGCCCAUCUUUCCUUCCCAGCCCGAUCCACACUCCCAGCACGCUGCCUACCAGCCAACCCAACUCCCCACCUCCCUCCCACGCACAGCCCACAUGCGCUGGCCCAGCCCAGCUCGCACACAUCUCCUCUUCCUCCUUUCGCACGUAGCACCGCCGCUGCCAGCGGACAAGUCCCCAACGCUGCCGCACCACACCGCCUCGUGAGAUCGCGCCACCGCCCAACGCCGGUGCGCCCCCUUCCCUCUCCUCCCCUCUCCCUAUGUCCUCCCGCCCAAGCCUAUCCUCCCACCUACAUCGCUCACAUCCAUCCUCCCCCCGACUGCUCCACCUCCCCAGUGCUGCACCACCACCUCACCCCGCUGACACCCUGCCUACCAUCGUGUGUGCACCCCAGGCCAUCCUGCUCUGCCACCAGUGCCGUACUCCUUCGCCACCAAGGCACCCGAGUACACUCCCCCUCUCCUCCCUAUCCCCUCCCUACCCACCACUGCAGCACUGCCGCAUAGCCACGCCGUCGCAUGGAUGCAUUCCCCCUCGCUCGCCUUAACAUCCCCCCUUGCCACAUACCGUCACCCCUUCUCUUCCCAUCCUCUCCCAACCAACCUCAUCUAGCAUGAUAGAGUAGCCGCCGCCGCUGCCAUACAUCCCCCCUUGCCGCUACUCCUCUUGCCCCGCUCCCAAAACCACCCAACUUCCUUGCGACCAAACCACUCAACCCACCUCGCUGCCCAUACCACUUGCCAUCCUUCUUUCCCCCUCGCCGUACAAAACCGGUCGAGCAAAACUAGCCAGGGUAAACAGAUAAGUAUUAUAGAUAGGGUAAACAGAUCACAUCCAUAUAUAUGGGGUAACGCAACCAAAAGUAGCAUGCGCCUAUUGUCUUCUUGUUGUAGUUCCAGCCAAAAUGGUAACCAAACUAUGUAGCACCUUGAUAAAAAAAAUCAUCUCUCAGAAAGGCGGCUCGCAAGCGGCCUACUUUCUUGUGGUCACCACUGCGAGGUGCGUGUUAACGCCUCCAGUUUCCCAAAGUUUUAUCUCAAACGACUCCUACAAUACUCGCCAUCGAUCCUACUCAACAUUACGCAAUCGUUCGGUCUUUUCUUCCCACAUGCUGUCACCAUGCAAGGGUAAUCACACCAACUUCCUACGCACUACUAAGCUGUAUCCGCAAGACAUAGACUAAUCACCACGAUUACAUCUAUUCCCACUAAUGGCAUAUGGUAGCUACACAUAUGAAAAUAACCAUGCAUCAUAGUAGAUCAAAGUAAGCACAAGAUUAGAUUGAUAUCACCAUUGUGUGUACAUAAGCCUUGAUGAUCACAAAGCUCGGCUCCACAACUCUACCCGCAUAGGGACGCCAUGGUGGCUAGGGUCUAGCCUAAGCCAUCUCCUAGGCAACUUUAAGGACUUGCAGAGGCCGUCAUCUCCCUCUGGUGUAUGCCUUUAGUUUCAUCGAGUUCCGAUGGAUGGAUCCGUGGGCUUGGUGGAUUUUUGGAGUAUAAAUAGUUUGGAGAGCGCGUGGCAGAAAUUAGAAGGUGAGAGGAGCAAGGAAAGCCCCAGGCUGAUUGGCCUGGGGGGUCCAGGCUGAUCGGCAUGGUCCUUCCUUUUAUCCCCUCGCACCCAACUUCGUCGCCAAGUCUCCUCUGAUGUUCUGGAAGCUUAUUUUUUUAUGCAUGUGGGCCUGGCACGUCGAUAGCUUUGGGAUGAGAUUGAUCUUUGAUAACUUUCCAAAUCUCCACUUGAUCUUCUUUGAUUCCUCUUUGAUCCCAAAGUGAGACUUGUCAUAUCUUCAUAAUCUUAGCCCUUAAGUAAUCUUGGAGGAAUGUUUGCCAAAAAUGAGCGUUCGGAGGGGGCCAGAAGACCCCUAGACAACCAGCUUGGGCUUCACCAGGCCGAUCGCCCAAGGCUCUUUCUGAGCUUGCUGGCCUUCGUCUUUGACAGGUUCAUUGCUUGUUCAAGGCUUUAUCCAAAAAUAUGCUUUUAGGUACAAUUUUCCGCAAAAAUAGAAUGUCCUCCAAAAUACAAUGCAUAUGUGAAAAUGGGAUUAUUUCAGGUGCCAAGUGGUAGGUUAGUAUAAGAAUAUUUAUGAAAAUACCACUUAAAUGGCACUAAAAAUGUGUCAAUAACGAGCGUCAACAAGCUCCACCCUCUGCUCCCCGCGGUGGAGCCCUUUCCCUCCCCUACCUCACCCCCACAACACCAUGAAUGAACUCCCCACGAGCUCCUCGUUCGGCUGGUGCAAACUGCGCACCCAGAGGCGGCCUAAAAUGUCGUCCCAGCGUGCUCCGGCGAGCCCCCGCGGUGGCGGAGAUGGCGGGCGUGGCGGUGCCGCCCAGCCCCGGCGUGAACCGGCAUGCCGUCCGCCCUCCAUCUCACCCCCGUCCGUCCUCCUCUCAUCCUUUUAACCCGCCAGGUAGGCCCACGGCAUAACGUCGUUGCCCCCACCGUCCGCCUCUCUCCCCGCUCCUCCGUGCAUGCGGCGCACAAGAGCCACAGACCCAAGCCGCCCCGCGGUCCAUCACCCAUGGAUGCGGUCUACCAACUAGUAAACCGCAGACCCCUUCUGCUUGCACCAGCCACUUCUAACUGCUACGUGCACUCGGAAAGUGUACACCAAAAACCACUCAGAGCCCUUCCCAACUUCCAAAAAUUCUUCAAAAAUCACCAAAAAUCCCAAAUAAUAUUCUAAUCCUAUCCAUGCCUUUCUUCUCUAUAGUUCACCUCAUAUGAGCCCAUUUUGCUAAGAUCUUAAAGCCCAACCUUAUUAGAAAAGAUGCCGUACCGCCUCCACCCGUCGUAAGGCCGAAGGCCGAAGGCUGAAGGGUCGAAGCCGAGUGCGUCGUGUGACCUCUAGCCAUACUACCCAUGUCGUUAACAGCACCUAGCCAGCUGUUCCUCGCUACCCUAUCGUCGCCGCUAACCCCUAUCGCUGCUACGCAUAUGCUUGAUCUUGCCUGGCCCCACCUGCCACCGUGUGGCUAUCCCCUAGCAUCGGGUCAGGUCGAACCGGUGUCCGACGAGCAAACUCUCAAGUUCUACUCUUUAGGAUCAUUCCACAAAUUCCCUAGUAACCCUAACCCCUUAAGGAUCUGUUCAAGCCUUUGGUCCAUUCCACCACCCAACCGUUAUGCUGCCCAAACCAAACCUAGAUAUCAUCCAGGUAUAGUCAUUAUGUUGCCCAGUUAGAAACAUAGAUAUCAUCCAAGCCCAGCCGUUGUGCCGCACAACUGAAAAAUACGAUUAUCAUCUUCCCCUAGCCAUAAUGUCAUCCGACCUAAAUCUCAAUUAUCGUCCAAACCUAGCUGUUGUGCUGCCCGACCAAAACCCUAAAACAACCCUUUAAAUAUUUUGAAACCCAUUUAUAAAUAAUUAAUGAAUUAUCUUUCGAAUACCCAGGAAUUCACCCUUAAUCAUCAGGUAAUUCCCAGAAUACUCAUCAUUUUUCUUUCUUUUCAUUCCUUAGGAAUUGAUUGGUGUACUGUUUUAUUAAUUGUUAUUUUGUACGCUAUUAUCAGCCGGUAGAUGACAAGGCUCCGUCCCGAAGCUAAGGAUCUAGAAGGCUUGGAGCCAAGAACACUGGUCGCCCUAGGAGACGUUAAGGAUUUUUUAUGAAGGCAAGUUUCAACUCCUAGCGCAUACUUUAUCCCAUGACCAACUUAAUAUGGAUUGCAUUAGUUUCUAAAUUAUUUCUCUAGGAUAUCGUGCUAGCUAGAUUUUCCCCUUUCGCUAUUGAAAUGCCAUAGGCCAAACCACCCUAGGAAAAUUACUACUCCCUCUAACCCUCCCUAUAGUAGAUACGCUAGGAAAGUUGAGUCACGCCCCGUAAAGGGGGAUAAAACCUAGUUGGAUCCUCUACGAGGAGGAUCUAUCACCCCACCAUAAAUAUUUAUGUUUUAUAAAAAGACUUAGGAAGGGUUUUCCUUUGGGAAUGCGUGAGUUAAUAACAAGAUGAUGGUAAUACAAAUCCUAGGGUGUAUUUUGGACCCGUGGGUAAGGGGACAACCUCUGCGGAGGACAUACUGCCCUGACGCUUACCCUAGUCAUGUAAGGAUCGGCUCAUUGGGAGAGCCUUUCUUGUGACACGUACUGCCAUACGUGCUAAAAAGGUACAGACUUCGUGAGUGCCUAUUCAUAUGAGGCCUUGAUUCGAAACCCGCUAGCUGAACCUAGUCAUCCAUCCCAAGGGGUCAAGGUGGGCAAUGUAUAUACUGGAGCAGGACCUUCGCAGAGUCCCAGGUCCGGUCGGCACGGGUUGACUGUUUGGAGGAUCGGAAACCCUGAGCGCCAGAGGCCCUAUUUUAUUUAUUUGUGCACAUUUCCCGAGAUUGGAUCCGCAAGGCGGAUGUUAGUGGCCCCUGUUUAGACCCCAGUAUGUCCGUGGAUGGACCUAGGGAAUGCUAGUUAGAGAUAGACGCGGGCGGGCAUGGGUCUUGUAGGUCAGUACCGCCUAGGAUCAAGGUAUGGACUAAUCGAACGUAUGGAUAUGUACACCUAUGUGCAGAGUUAUAAUCUAUCAAUAGCCGAGACUCACGGUUAUGAGCCCACUUUUUUAAAGCCCCCAUGAUUAGUCUUUGGGUGGGAAUUAGUGUGUUGAAAAUGUCAGAUGAAGGUCGUGGACCGGAUUCCAGAAUUAAAACCUGGGGACUGGUAGGGGAGGUAGUUCCCCCCCCUCCAGGACCACAACUUUCAUUAUAUACUAUAAUAAUAACCUUUAGAGAGUCUUUACAAAAGUCACCUUUUUUAAUCCACUUUGCAUAUGUGAGAUGCUUUAGGCAUAGGUCUUGCCCUUCAACCAUACUCCUUGGCCACCUCCCAUAUUGCAUAUAAUAUACUAGUUAAGGUUGGGAUUUGCUGAGUACCAACCAUAAGUGUACUCAGCCUUGCUUUUAUCAUACAAGUCUCCAGGUGUUUCAGACCAUCUUGUUAGUGGAUGGAAACUUGCGCUAAGAUGAAAACCUUACUUUUAUUAAAUUAUACGCCUUUUAUUGCUUAAAUACUGAACUAUGAUGGUAACUGUAUUAGUUUACUAAUCCAGGGACUAAUACAAGUGGUCAGCAGGACUCCCAGAGGGAGGUCCCCACAACAGCCGCCCGCCAGUUCUGCAUGCAACCAUGGCCCAUGCGCUCCCACGUGUGACCAAGCUAUCCUCCAGUCUUCUGCACUCUUCUUGCUCUUCUGCGCGCCAUGCCACCCACCGGUCAGCCUAUAGAGCAUGCCACCACGUGCGCUGGAUGGUCCCCUGAGCCCUUGGCUGGGCCUAGGUUAUGUACCCAAUGGUGGAGGGAGCCCCCUGGCUUGCAAUUUUGCAUUGAAAAUUUUGAAUUUGAUGAAUUUUUUAGAAAACUUAGCACUGUUGGCCCCCUAACGAUGAAAAAACGAAUUCCUGGCUACGCCCCUUUAUGUACCUGUGAACAGCAGCGCCCUUGCUGUUUCCUUGGCCCUACACACACGCAUCCUUGCUCGCCCCUCUAGAGCAUAUGGUCACCACUGCCCUGGCCUUCGGCUCCACUCAAGCCACAGCGGCAUGCUGGCCUCAUCUGUGUCGCACUGCAAGGGAGGCCGACCACCAUCCUUGAACUUCUCCACCUGCUGACCACCACAUUGGUCCUGAGCGCACCCUUGCUCGCCCAUCAGGAGGAGAUGCCACCACUGCCUCGAUUCCCCGCUGUAGCCCUUCACUUUACCUGCAGCCUCCCUGUGACAUCCGACCCAACUUUGGAUGGCCCGGUAGUGGCCCAUGAGCGCAUGUGCGCAUGUUUAGUACCACAUUGCUAGUUAAUAUCCAGGGUAGACCCAACUUAUAAGCCUUUCGAGGGUGUUUACAUAUGUGCGCAUGUUUACACGAAACGAGGACGAAAGUGUAAGCAGGGUGCUAUGUGUACGCAUGUCUGCCCCUCGGAAGGGCUGGGCAGUGCGACUUUGGAGGAUGGGGUGUUACAAAUGGUAUCAGAACCGACCCUCGCGGUUGCGCAUACGGGUUAGUGUGCAAGCAUAUGGUGCCGGCACUGGACAUAUAGUCGUGCGCUAAGAGGGAACGUUCCUGGACAUUUGCCCAAGUGUGGGUGAGUUGGACCGACGAGGACGUCGGGUUCUUUGAGGGGGGGUGUAUGUGACAUCCGGUCCAACUUUGGAUGGCCCACUAGUGGCCCAUGAGCGCAGGUGCGCAUGUUUAGUACCACAUUACUAGUUGAGUAAGGGUGGUGGAGCCAACUUAUAAGCCUUUGUCCACCAGCCAUAGCACCUUUGAAUUAACCCUUUUACACGAAGCGAGGAUGAAAGUGUAAGCAGGGUGCUAUGGGCACGCAUGCCCGCCCCUCGGAAGGGUUGGACGGUGCGGCUUGGAGGACGGGGUGUUACACUCCCUCCUAUUUCUUUUUUUCAUUUUUCAUUUCCAGUUGUAUAUAAUUACUAUAUAUUUAUAAAUUUUGAAAAGAAGUGUAUAAAAAUGCAUUUACAAGCUAAUUAGAAAAGGAUGUUUUAAAAAGAUAAAUGUGGUUAUAUUUUGUAGGUAAAUCAUGUAGUUACGUUGAUAUUAUGUACAUAGUGGCAAUAUUUCUUAAAUUGUCUUUAUUUCUUAAAAUUUACUUUACAUGUCUUUGAUUCAAUGUCAAAACUUAAUUCGACUUUGAUGGUUUUGAACCAAAACUGUGUGUCUAACGCUAAGCGCAUAGGAUCCUGGUGUAAUGCUAAUCCCAAUCAUUUAGUCAGUUUGGGGAGCUUGGCUAUCACUUGCACACAGCAAACCAUGUCGAUCACGGGCCAUGCUAAUCCAACUUAUUGCAGGUGCCUAGGAUCCUGGACUGUUUCCUGGUGCAAUGCUAAUCCCAAUCAUUUAGUCAGUCUGGGAGCUUGAUUAUCACGUGCCCAAAAUGUCGAUCACGUACUGGCAAGCUUUUCAUUAUUAGUACCUUGCUGCUCUUCUCUCACAAUCUCGUCAGAGUUUUGUUUCUCACCGGAUGACAAAUAGCAUCUCCUAUUGUCCUAUGCCAACCACACCCAUCAUGAUUCAUGCAAGAGUCAGCAUCGGAUCCUUGUGCUUGAUUAUUAAUUGGGAGCGAGCAAAUACAAUGUGACGGUACAGGAACCCAUUGCUGUCUCUGCUGUAUGAUUUUCGCUUAUUGAUGCCGUGGUUUGAUGACUCGAUGGGCCUCAACCACGCGAUCAGAUCUGCCCACCCAUCGAUCAGAUCUGCGUACCCAUCGAUCGGCGACAGGAGUACCUUAUAAUCAGCGGCCAGCUAGCUGUCUCUGCCAUCCCUGCAUUAUUCAUGGCCAUCUGCGGGCCGUGGGGGUAGCCAUCGUCAGUAGCCGCGAACGUCACGAUCGAUGUACCCAUCGAUGAAUCGGUCACGGUUUGCAAGAGACAAGAACGAAACCACAUCCACCGUACGUGCCGGCACCUCAGCCAUGAGCCAUGCAUGUGACGGAGAGCUGAAUGGCUGGAGCUAGAGGGCGGGCCGGGACAGCUCCGUCACGGGGUCACGGGCAUGCCUCGCACCCUCGCUGCACAGUGCUUAUCACGAACAAAUCCAAUCAGAGGCGCUGCACGUACGACAGGCAUGAUCGGUGCCGUCCGACAGAUUGUUUGUUCUCCAUGCAUAUUGCAUGGGAAUUUGACCGUACCUCUUCCAUUCCAUAUUGUGGCUGGGCCUGGGCUCGGCUCAUAAGCUCCCGGGCGCGGCCAUACCUGCUGCAUCAGCUCUCGGCGCUCCUUUUCCCAUUUCCAGCCGCUGGAAACACCGCACAAGAGCCAGGUCGAUACGUCUCCUAUGCAGCUGGGGAUGUCUCAAUCCUCCACUGGCAAUAAUUUCUCGGCACGGCUGCCACACAGGCCGGUACUGGAGCGCGUGUGACCUGGCUGUGGCCAGUGGCCAUCCCCAACCAUGUUCAGGCAAGAGGAAGCAGAGUCUCCCCGACCACAUCCGUGGCCUCAGAACUCAGAUCGGGUCCCCUUCCCCGUGUGUGGCCACAUGCAUGUCCUCUUGUCGUCUUGAUCGUUCAGUGUUGAGAUUAGGUUUACUGAUUCACUGUACACGAAUUUUGAUAUUACCUUUUGAGUAAGUUACUCAUUUCCAAACCAUUUUUCAUUUUUGUCCGCAGAUAGAUAUGGGGAUUAUUUGAGUCUGAUGGGGUACUUUUCGAGGUAGAUGGCUACACCUUUUUGUUAUUGACGCUUGUGCAUACUAAGAGUUAUAAAUAUGGAACUUGUAAAUCUUGCACGACCCUCCAACCCCGUUUGUGAAGUAGCCACCAAUAAUUGUAUAAGGGAGGAGAGACCCUUGGUGAUUUGCUAAAGUCCUACCUAAUAAAUAUAGCGAGAGGCAUCAAAAAAGAUAAAGUGGAGACCCACUUGUAUAUAGGGAAGGCCUGUCGCUAUCCACGUUGCGCAUGCAUUCUCCCACGAGGGGCUCCAAAGAGAACUAGAGGAAAGCAAGAUUUUUCUGAUAUGGGAGUUUGCACAUUUGGUUGAUAGCCGCAUUGCGCCGCAGCUUGCCACAAAUCCCGUGCCGCACUUCUGGACAUCGUUUGAUUGGUUUCUAGACUUCCGGCGCGCCGCAGAGUACUCGCUGGCCUGCAGUUCAUUUUUCUCGCCAAGAUGUGCCAGACUUGCUGCAGCCAUUUUCAGCACCAGACAUUUGGUAGCGCCGGACUUCAGGUGCGGCUAGGUCUCGACAGUAUCCAAACAGAUCUUUACCUUCUACGUUACUUAUUGUACUUUACAUUUCGCACUUAUCAUUUUUUAAUUGCCAUGUGUAGUUUGUAGGAUUAGAAUAUAGGAUGCAAAACUUUUACGCGGUAGAAAUAACAAGACAUUAAAAAACCUAUGCACAUCUAGAUAGUUUUUGUAAUAGUUUUUAUAUGUUCUUGAAGCCUUCGUUUUUUAAACACCUAGUUCACCGUUCACUUGUUAGGUUGUCACGAUCCCUUCAAUUAGUUUGUUCAAUAGACUGUAUGAUCUUAAAAGUACACAUGAUCUCAAAAGUGCUCCACAACAGCACUAAGCAAAAGUAUAGCUUGGUUAAGGAAGCUUUUAAUUCUUUGAAAAUGUUACCCAAUGAAUUAGCUAAUGAUAUGUACUCAUAUUUAAAUGUUAUUAUCAAUAAGCUAGGUGCAAUAGGCUUGACCAAGCUAAACCAUGCAAACGUCACAAGAAAGAUCAUUCAUGUUCUUUUCAAUGAUAAAUGCGCCUCCAUUAUUGUCACCUAUUUCCACUGAUUUGAAGACUCCAACAAGAUAAAGCCAAACAAAGCUAUAAACAAGAUUAUUGCUCAUGAGCCAUCCGUGAAUGCUCCAUCAAGCCAAGACAUUGCUCCAUCAAGCAAAAAAUAAAAGUAGGAGGAUGACAAGCAAGAAUCUUCUGCAUCAUGCAAGAAUCAAGCUCAAACUCAAGUUCAAUUGAGGAAGAUGAAAGUGACUAUGAGGAGAUAAGAUGAGGACAAUGAUGAAGCAACUUGUGUAAGGAUGAACAAACUACUAAAUAAGAUCUUCCAAAGGUGUCCCCUCUACCAUUAAUUGAGAAAAUGGUUCACUACAACCAACAAAAAUGAACAAAAUAGUUGGUUGUGGUGAGAAUGGACACUACAUAAAUAUUGUCUGCGCACGAAGAAGAGAUGCGAGAAAAAAAAAAGAAGAAAGAAAGAAAGGUAAGCAAGAAGGCCUCCAGUAUUGGAUCGAUAGUAGUUGUUGCUGAAUAUGUUCUUCAGGAAUCCAUUCCCAAGGUUACUUUUUAAUUAGGCAUGUCAAUAAUUUCUUUGUAAAUAAUGGUUAUUGAUGAAGAUGCAGCUAAUGACAUCUGAUAUUCUGAUGUGACCAAGGUUAUUACUUUUGAUCCUGAAAUUAGUCCUUGGUUACAGUUUGUUACGUGUGCAUUAGUUUCAUGUCUAUUUGAAAUAAGUUCAUGCUUAUUUGCAUAUUUUAGAUAAAGGAUAAAAUUCAGCCUACUAUUCAACGAGAGAGAGACCAGAGGCGCAUAUGCUUAUGCCUCUGCAUAAAAGAGGUUUGGAUGCUGCCUGCGAUCCAGGGGAAUCAAAACCGUCCAACGUUUCUGGAAGAGAAAGGAAGGAAGCAAGAGAUUUGUGUCUUUGGUCUGUGCGGCCACUAGAUCAUACGCCACGUCAAAUGGGACUAGCUAAUGACCCAUGGGUCCCGCCGUGAGAUAAGGAUGCAUGCAGAUCAUGCUUCCUUUUAUUCUGAAGAGAGUCCAAUCAUUUAUUUUAAUAUAUAUAAUAAAAAACCAGUCGGAGAUGCAUGUAAGAGCAUCCGGUAGUUACAAAUUAAUACGGAGUAUAUUUCCUUUCAAUUAGGCUGUUUCGUUAGGGAUUUGUGUGAUUCUGCUUGCAUGCCAAUAUAUGUGGCUUUAAAUAGCCAAGAGCACAUCUAAUGUAAUUAUAUUAGAUUAGUAAAAGUGCCUGUGCAUUGCUACGGAUCUUUACCCUCUCUAAAAUAAUUAUCUACUUAUUCCCAAUUCAUGUUUCAUGGUGCUUCUCCUUCCCGAAAUUCUGCACAAGGAAAAUUAAUGAAGUAGAUAAACUAUCACAAGGAGAAAAGUUCAUGGAUUUCAUACCAGGUGCUAUCAUAAGAAUAUGGAGGUUCUGGAUGUAACUAGAUGCUGUGAUCCGUCACCUUUUUAAAUUCCUAAGUUAUAUGCCAUAUUUCCCUAAACUCUUCGCAUAAAAAAAUGUAACUUUGAUGUGCAUAAUUGAAAUCACAAUUAAUUUAUUAUCAAAAUGUAUAUUGAUCCUAUCAUCCAGCAAUUUUAGUAUUAGAGUGCUUCAUAAAAUUUGUAUUUGGUCCCAUUCAUAUCCUCGGCUCGUUCUUCGGCUGUAUAAUCACUAAGUUAAAAUUUAAAUUAGUAAUUCUGAUUAAAUUAAGGAGGUUUGGACAGCAAGAUUGUAGAGCAGACCUUGAGACUAUCUAGGUUGUUUUGCCAUUAUUUAAUACAGGGUUUAAACAUACAUUGGAACUUCUGGUACAUAGAUUUAGUAUGCACGCAACUCCAAUUUUAGCUUUCAUGCAUUACAGACGUAUUGUCCACAAAACUUUCAACCUAUAAAAAAAACUGCAAGGCUAAAUAAAUGCUUACCCUUGAUUAGAAUUUGCUGGAAACACUUCUAAAUUUAAAAACUUUCACUACAUGCAAAUUCAUCUAACAAUUACCGAACUAGCUUGAGCAUACUUCGAGCCGCAUAUAGUACCAACGAGCACUCCAGGCAGCACUAAGGCAUCAGUAAUGUCAGGCGGAUGCCAGGCAUUGGUGAUGGCAUGUGGUCAGCGUCCACAGCAGGCAGCAGGGUGGAGAUACCGCACUUUGCAUCUGUGCUAGGUAGAAUGCUAUGACAACAGCUUAUGCUUUGCUGCUGCGUGGAUUAUAUGUGAGAUCGUAGCGGACCGCUUCCGAGAAGGCCGGCGCUACAUCAGGGCGGUGCGCACAGGUGCAACAGUGGGCGACAGCACCCGUGCACGGCGAGAUCGAAGCUCCGUGUCGCACCACCGGUACGGCAUGGUGGAGAGCUUGGGAAACAAAGGAGAUGGAUGGGUUGUUUGACUGGGUCGCAACAAGAAGUUCAUGCUCUUAUCGGGAUGACGGGUUGAUUAUGAAAAAUGCGAGAUAUUUUUUUUGCAAAUCGUCAAGAACUAUAAUUGUUUAACUCUCAAGACUACGGGUUGAUUAUGAGGAAUUUUUUUACAAAACAACCACGACGGUUGGAAGAAAUAACCGCACUAAUAUUAGGUAUAGAUAUAGAUUUUGAUAGUGAUGAAUUAAACCACCGUGUGUUAGCCAUUGUGCUGUCAGGGUUCAUCCCAGUGUUAUCAAGUUUUGAUGAGAUCUCUUAAAACCCACAGAUUAAGAAUUUAUCUCUUGGGUUACCCGUCGAAUCUAUAUGAUUCAACUCUUCCUGUUCAUGUUAUUGUGAUCAUUGUAGGAAGUUCUACAGUGUGGUAUUGCAUCUGUUCACCAGAUCGUAAGAUCACGCUAGUUACAUUCGGAUAUUGUUGUUUACAUUUCUUAGAUGGUAGUAAGCAAGCGUUAUGUGGAGACAUGGAGGAAAGAACUGUGCUAGAAGCUACAAACUCCAAUUUUAGAUUGUAGUUGUUUCAUUUUACAGUUGUUGUUCCCAUGAUUUGUUUCUCUCGUCAUAUGUAUCUCAAAAUGAUUUGCACAGGGCUGGAUAUCUCAGAAAUUAUCUUCCAGAGGAAAAUAUGUUUCUGUAAGCAUUAGGUCAAUUUGUGUGGUUUUGAGUGAGCAGGUAACCCGAUGUUUCCAUAAUUCCAAUCAGGGGCGGAUCUGGGCCCCGGGCUGCCCGGGCUGCAGCCCGGGGCGAGGCCCAAGAGCAGUGAAAAACUUCUUCAUAAAAAUAGUAUAAAAAAGCAUUUUGACCCAUUAGCCCACCCCGAAGAAGUUAGCCCAGGCGGCAGGCGCCAGGCGGCCCAACAACUCCCCAUUGCCCUAGCAGUUCCGGCCGGCCCAUGUGGCCAUGUGAGCAUGCGCGGUGGCCUGCUGAUGUGAGCAUGCGCCUGCUCCUGCCCGGCUGCCCGAGUGCCCGAUUCGCCGCCAGCGCCACCGCGCCAGGCAGCGCCCGCCGCCCAGCCGCCCGCCCAGCUCGCCGUCGUCCGCGCGCCGCCCCCCCCCCCCCCCCCCCCCCCCCCCCCGCGGCCCUGGCGCCCCGCGCACCGCCACCCGCGGCCCAGCGCGGCCGCGCCCCUGUCGGCCACCCGCGGCCCCGCGCGGCUGCGCCUCCGCCGGCCGCCCGCAGCCCCGCGCGCCGCGCCCCCGCCGGUCGCCCGACGCCCGCGGCCCCGCGCGGCCGCGCCUUCGCCGGCCACCCGCGCGCGGCGCGCCGCCACGGCGCCACCCGCGGCCCCGCGCGGCCGGGCCCUGUUCUGCUCACCUAUUGUCUAUUGAAAUUGUUCCCCUGCUCCGGUAUGCAAUUUUUUUUUGAAAUUGCUAUUUCUAUGCAAAGUAAUGAUAAUGAAUAUUUCAUUUCAUUGAUUUGAGCAGGAAGUAUUUGAGUCUUAGUUUGCAAAUUGCAAUUGCAACAUUUCAUAAUCAUAACUUAAAAUGGAGAAAUACUAUGCUAAAAAGAGUAGUGCCGAAAGUGUAGAGAGCCGGGUUGAGCAAAAAAGACCACGGAUUGAACUUGAUAUGAGAGAUAUAGUUGCUGAUCCAGGAGAAAGGAAGCCAAUUGAUGAUUUUCAUCAUGACAUUAGGGAUGAGGCAAGGAGAGCAUAUCUACAAAUAGGUCCAUAUAGGCCAGCUGGUCAUAAGUUCCAAAAAUGAAAAAAGAUGGUAAAGGCCAAUCAAGAGGAUUUGUUGGAUCAUGGUUUGAUCAAUUUGAUUAGUUAGAGUACAGUGUAGCCAAGGAUGCAGCUUAUUGCUUUUAUUGUUAUCUCUUUAAGCCACAACAAGCUGGGUUUCAUAGUAAUGAUACAUUCACCAAAGUUGGGUUUAGAAAUUGGAAGAAUGCAAAGAAUUGUUUCAAGGAGCAUGCUCAAUCAAUUGAUGGCUUUCAUAAUAAUGCAAGAAAGCGUGCACUUGAUUUCAAAAAUCAGAGGCAAAGUGUUGAACAUGUAUGGUCUGUUACAAGUGCAGCAGAAGAGGAGGCAUAUAAAGCUCGUUUAAGUAUCAUGUUAGGCAUUGCUAGAUUUCUCCUUUUGCAAGCUCUAGCCUUUCGUAGACAUGAUGAGUCUAAAACAUCAAGAAAUAAAGAGAACUUUAUGGAGAUGCUCGAAUGGUACAGAAAGAAGGAUCCUAAGGCUGCACUUGUGACCGGUGAAAAUGCUCCAGGGAAUAAUCAAAUGAGUAGUCCAAUGGUUCAAAAAGAUUUGGCUAGGGCUUGUGCAGAGGAGACAAGUGAGUUAAUUAAAAGUGAAAUAGGAGAUCGUUGUUUUGCGGUUCUUGUCGACGAGGCUCGUGAUGCAUCUAUUAAGGAACAAAUGGCUGUGGUUGUGAGGUAUAUACCUUCUCUCUAUUUGGUUAUUUUAUUGGUUUUGUUUUGUUGCUUUCAAGUAACACUAUUUUCUCUUUUCUCUUGUAGGUUUGUCAAUGAUAAAGGAAGUGUGAUUGAGAGGUUUCUUGGCAUUGAACAUGUUUCUGACACCACAUCAACUUCACUAAAAGAAGCAUUGGAUACUAUGCUUAGAAGAUAUGGUCUAUCUAUUUCCAAGAUUAGAGGGCAAGGAUAUGAUGGAGCUUCAAAUAUGAGAGGACAAUUUUAUGGGUUACAAAGACUGGUAUUGAACGAAAACCCAUAUGCCUUUUACAUCCAUUGUUUUGCUCAUCAAUUGCAGCUUGUGGUAGUUUCUGUAGCCAAGUGUUGUGGCUCAACUUUUGAUUUCUUCAAUUAUGUCACUUCAAUCGUCAAUGUUGUUAGUGCUUCUUGCAAGAGGAAAGAUCAACUCCUUCAAAGUCAUCAUGAUAAGCUUGUUGAGCAGUUAGAUAGUAGUGCUAUUUUUUCUGGGAGAGGGAAAAACCAAGAAACUAGUCUUGCUAGGCCUGGUGAUACACGGUGGGGUACACAUCACAAAACAUUGGCACGUCUUAUGAUCAUGUGGUCCUCUGUACUGGAGGUAUUGGAGAAUAUUAGUGAAGAUGGAACUGAUGGAAAAAAAUACUACAGCCUCUGGAUUGAUUCAAAGAAUGGAGUCAUUUGAAUUUGUGUUCAUAUUACAUCUUAUGAUUAGAGUACUGGGGAUGACUCAAGACUUGUCACAAUGUUUGCAAAAGAAAAAUCAAAACAUUGUUCGUGCAAUAGGAUUAAUUGGCUCUGUGAUGAGAAAUAUGAAUGAAAUGAGGGAAAAUAGUUGGGAUGCUCUUUUUGAAGAAGUAAAGGAGUUUUGCCUCCUCAACAACAUAGAAAUUCCUAAUAUGGAAGAUAUGAUACCAGUUAGAGGUCGUUCGAGAUGUCGUGGUGCUAAACUAGUGAGUUACUACCAUCAUUUUCAUCAUGGAAUUUUCAAUGUUGUGAUUGAUCAAGUUUAUUGUGAGUUAAACAAUCGAUUUCCAGAAAGAUCAACUCAACUCUUGAGAUGCGUUGCUUGUCUUGAUCCGAGGGAUUCUUUUGCCAACUUGAAGUACAGAAGUUAGUUGAGCUUGCUAAGAUUUAUAAAGAUGACUUCUGUGAUUAGGACUGCAUAAAGCUUGCGGGUGACCUUCCUAUUUUCAUUGAUGAAGUUAGAAAUGAUGAUAAUUUUGACACUUGUAUUGAUCUUGGUAACCUUGCUGAGAAGAUGGUUCAGAGUGGAAGAGAUACAGUUUUUCCUUUGGUGUAUCGUCUCAUUGAACUUGCAUUAAUUUUGCCGGUGGCAACAGCAACAGUUGAAAGAGCCUUCUCUGCUAUGAAUAUUAUCAAGACUGAAUGAAGAAAUAAAUGAAUGAUGAUUGGUUGAAUAAUAGCAUGAUGUGCUAUAUUGAGCGAGAUUUGUUUGCGUCGAUUGAAGAUGAAAAAAUUCUAAAGCUCUUUCAAGGCUUAAGAAACCGUAAGAUGAAUUUGCCAAACGAGGGCUCAAGGUGCGUGUUGUUUACUUGUAUUAGUCUAUUUCAAUACAUAAUGUUAUCUUGCUUUAUAUAGGGCUGAUAUGUUGAAAAUUUUAAUGUAGAAUUGAGGACGUCGGAACAAGUGGAAGUGGUUAUUAAUUCAUGAAGACAUGUAUGGUUCUUUUUUUAUCAUGGAAGACUCUUAAUUUGGUACUUUUCUACCUUCAAUAUUCUAUGUAUUGUUUGAGUCUAUUGGUUGAAUUGUGCUCUUUGAAAAAUAUAUUAUAUCUAAUAGUGUAUGGCUAGUAAGAUUUUAAGCCUUAUAUUAGUUAGCCCGGGGCGGAGCCCGUUUCUGGAUCCGCCACUGAUUCCAAUAUUAUACUAAGAAAUUGAUGCCUAUUUCUAUGUUUGUUCUGUUUUGCUAUUCCUUUCAUUUGUAAAGACAUUCAGUCGUCGAAGGUGUAGCUUUUCAGGUCGAAGCCGUGUAUUCCACUGCAAAAGAUAUUCACUUCUUAUGAACUGAAAUUAUACAUCAUCUAUGUUUCAUUCUUUGUUCCAUCUUUUAACAAGAGUCGUGCCAUGCAUUCCACCAUACUUGUAAGUAUCGAAUCAAAUGGAAAGUUUGUGUUGACUGACUGAAUUCUAGUUGGCCACAUGUUAUGCAAUGUGUGUCACUUUGUUGCAGGUUGGAGCUCCAAUGACCUGGACAAGAAAUGUGAAAGACCUAUUUUGUUCUCCUCAAGCCUCAUCAGAAAUCUUUUUUUUCUAAAUUAAACUGAGCAUACGUUCUACUAUAAAUAAGAUAAUCCUUUAUUUGACACCUUUCUUCAAAAUUUUCUAUUUAACGCCAAGUUCAACUUUCAUUCUUUAUACGACACUAUGUCGGAUUUUCUUUCGGAAAUCAUUAAAUAUCCUAAGAAAAGACAAUUUUGGCCCUCGGACCCCGCCGCCCUUCUCCCUAUGCUCCACACCCGACGGGCCCUUCUCCCUCCGGGCCAGCAGGCUAGGCCCUGUGCGGGCGCACGUCUCCGCCGAGCGGAGCAUGGAGGCCGCCGGCAAGGGGUUGGUGGUGGAGGAGGAGGACGCGGUGAGGCUGUUCGUGGGCCUCCCCGCGGACGUGGUGGUCUCGGAUAGCCGCGGGGUGUGCCGCCCGAGGGCCAUCUUGGUGGCGCUGCGCGUGCUCAAGCUGCUCGGCGUCGACGGCGUGGAGUUGCCGGUGUCAUGGGCCGCGGUGCAGCCCGGGCCCGGGGGCUGGUUUGAGUGGGCUGGGUACCUCGCCGUCGCCUCCAUGGUCGGCCCCGCGUCGCGCUCCCCACCGACGGCGAUGCGCUCCCUCAGUGGGUGGCCGACGCCGCGGCCGCCGACCCCAACGUCCUCUUCACCGACCGGUCCGGGCACCUCCGCGAGGGGUGCCUCUCCUUCGCCGUCGACGAGCUCCCGGUGCUCCUCGGCGAGUCGCCGCUCGAGGCCUACGAGGCCUUCUUCCGCAGCUUUGCCGACGAGUUCAACGACAUCUUGGAGUCAACCAUUACGGUAAGAGAAAUCCAAGAACAGAACACAUUUCAGUAAAAGGCUCCUCUUUGAAAAGUUUUCUUGGUUCGUGUAGGAUGUGACCGUGAGCCUGGGUCCCAACGGCGAGCUCCGGUACCCGUCGUACCCGCCGAGGAACAACAGCGCUACCGACGGCUACUCCGGCGCGGGCGAGUUCCAGUGCUACGACAUGUACAUGCUGCCGCGGCUGAAGCGUCACGCCGAGUCGUCCGGGUAGCCGCUGUGGGGCCUGUUAGGCCCGCACGACGGGCCGCGGUACGACGAGUCGCCGGAGUCAUCUGUCUUCUUCCGGGAGCGGGGGGCUCGUGGAACACCGCGUACGGGCUGUCUGCCAAGGUGCCGCUCCUGUGCGGGUCGCGCCCAGCGGCGGAGGCCACCGCGGGGCUCCACAGCGGGUACGUCCCCGUCGCCGAGAUGUUCGCGCGGCACGGAUGCACGGUGAUCGCGUGCGGCGUGGAUGCGCGGCUCGACGCCCGGGCGGAGGAGCACCCGGCGAGGGUCACACGGGCGUCUGGCUGUCCGCGGGCCGCACCCAGCCGCGCGGGUUCACGUACAAGUGGAUGGGCGCUGACUUCUUCUCGGUGUGGAGCAAAGGAGGGAGAAGGGUAGUGGGGUUCAUAGAGGCAAAAUCAUCUUUUCGCAGAGUAUUUAACGGUUUUCGUAUGGAAAAUCUAACAGAGUGUUGUAUAAGGAAUAAAAGUUGAGCUCAGUGUCAAAUAUGAAACUAAAUUUUAAUAGGGAAUUAUCUCAUUAUAAAUUUAACAAAAUUCAAGGUAGAAAACAGGAAUCUUUGCCACCUAAUCUGAUGAGCACCAGAUAUUCAGAAUGGUGUAUGAGUAGUUAGUUAUCCAACGAACUGAACGGCGGCAUGGCUGUAGGUUUGGGAGAACAUGCAGUUGGAUUAGCUGUUGAGCAGUAUGUGAUGUCGUGUCUCGUACAGAGGCAUAUCAGAAUUUCAGGAAACCUUAUUCAUGGAAUUCAACUGCUAACAUACGCAUGCAGUGCAGAGGUCUAGAUUUUCGAUGGCUUGUAUACCCAAUAGACCUAUUUUAUUGAAAUUGGAACCACAAAUUCAGGAUUAUUGACACCGCAACAGGGUAGCCAACAAAAAACGAGCAAAAGGAAAGACUACAAGCCUCCCAGAUAUUAAACCUGCCACAUAUGUUGCACUAUGCAGCUAUGGUUACAGCUUCAACACAAAUACAAUGGGCCUGCAUCAAUUUCCGGUGGUACUUAAGCCAUGGGCACCUUGGUAGCACAUCCAGCAGAAUCCACAACCACCAAACUGUGGUAGAUUAUUGUCAAUUUGCGCCUCUAGAGUUGUGGCAUCCUUCACUUGUCCUACCGAAAGUAACAUGUGAUUAGGAAACUGCAUGAAAAGAUAAUGUUCACUGUAAACAGAGUAAUAGAAGUGAACAUCAUAGCUAACCAGUUGGUAUUGUUUCUCUUCUUUGUAGUAGCGGUUGAACCCUAGUGUAUCCUUGAUCUCCUGGAAAGAUGGCAAGAUACUAGGCGGAGGUACACCACCAUCUUUUA